UCUUUACGUAUCCAUGCGAUCAAAUUAAUGCGCUCAUAAAAGAUAUCAUCCUUUACAUACCUUCCAGUUCGAUAAAUAUAACCAUGUUCGUUUUACGCUAGGAUAAACACAGAUGUAUCUUUCAGUUUUAUUUUAAAAGAUUGACAAUUUAUAGAUCACGAAGUAGCAUGUCCAACGUACGUGUUCUUUCGCAUUAGAGUUGUAUUUCCUACAUUAAAAUAGUGAACGAGGCCACACUAUUAUGAUAUUAUUUCAUUUUCUGGGGCAUUUCGCAAACAACGUCAUUUGUUAUUUUAAGACUACGUAAAAUCAAUAUAUGAAUAUAAUUUUCAAAAAGAAAAACUAGAACUCGUUAAAUAAGUAUGGAUAGAGACCA
This 376-nucleotide long non-coding RNA is filed under the name Mytilus galloprovincialis (Mediterranean mussel). The record is from RNAcentral. Lineage: Eukaryota; Metazoa; Mollusca; Bivalvia; Mytilida; Mytilidae.